RNAcentral lists this signal recognition particle RNA (148 nucleotides) under Chlorocebus sabaeus (green monkey). RNAcentral's name for it is "Metazoan signal recognition particle RNA". It matches the Rfam family "Metazoan signal recognition particle RNA". From Rfam's summary of the family: The signal recognition particle (SRP) is a universally conserved ribonucleoprotein. It is involved in the co-translational targeting of proteins to membranes. Lineage: Eukaryota; Metazoa; Chordata; Mammalia; Primates; Cercopithecidae. The record is from Rfam by way of RNAcentral.
GCCGGGUGUAGUGGUGUGUGCCUGUAAUCUCAGCUACUCAGGAGGCUGAGGCAGGGGAAUCGCUUGAACCCAGGAGGUGGAGGCUGCAGUGAGCCGAGAUCAUGCCACUGCACUCUAGCCUGGGUGACAGAGCGAGACUCUGUCUCGG